This 771-nucleotide long non-coding RNA is filed under the name Cyanistes caeruleus (blue tit). Its description in RNAcentral is "lncRNA (ENSCCEG00000002671.1)". Lineage: Eukaryota; Metazoa; Chordata; Aves; Passeriformes; Paridae. The record is from RNAcentral.
GGAUAGCUUUGGGAUGGGAACUGAGACCUUCAGGACCGGUGGUGGCACCUCGGGGACCUUCGGGGACACCUCGGGGACCGGAGCUGAGACCUUCAGGAGCAGUGGUGGCACCUCGGGGACCAGUGGUGGCAUCUCGGGGGGCUUCGUGGAUACCUUGGACACCAACGGUGGCAUCUCGGGGACCUUUGGGGACACCUCAGGGACCUUCAGGGACACCUUGGGGACUGGAGCUGAGACCUUCAGGAGCAGUGGUGGCACCUCGGGGACCGGUGGUGGCACCUUGGAGACCUUUGGGGACACCUUGGGGACCUUCGGGGACACCUCAGGGACUGGUGGUGGCAUCUCGAGGACCUUCAGGGACACCUCGGGGACCUCUGGUGGCACCUUCAGGACCACUGGUGGCACCUCGGGGACCUCAUGGGCCGGUCCCACUGGUUUUACUGGGGACCCCAGAGGUCCUGGUGGCCAAACUGGUCACACUGGUGGCCCAGGAGGUCCCAGGGGUCAUUUCAGUGGCCAAACCGGUUUCAGUGGCCAAACUGGUCACACUGGUGGCCCUGGAGGUCCCAGGGGUGACUUCAGUGGCCAAACUGGUCACACUGGUCAAACUGGUUUCAGUGGCCAAACUGGUCACACUGGUGGCCCUGGAGGUCCCAGGGGUGAUUUCAGUAGCCAAACCGGUUUCAGUGGCCAAACUGGUCAAGCUGAUGGCCCCAGAAGUUUUGGAGGCCCCAGAGCCCAUUUCAGUAGCCAAACUGGUCACACUGGUCA